CUGGACUUUAAGAAAGACAGAGAACCAAGAGCAAGUAUCCUGAAUGCUUUACUCAAAGACUCUUCAGUCUCUGCUCAGCUUUGGCCACACACACUCCUGUUUUUGAUGGUUGUCUUCUUGCUUUCUCUCCUUCCAGCAGAACAAAGUCUGAGUUUUCUGUUGGUAAGACAGGGGGAAUAGUAGCUGUCUCACUGGGUCAUUGUGAAAAUCAAAUGAAGGUUCUAGAGAUACACCCCACCAUGUACUGUCAUAUGGCUCAUUCUCAGUCGCCCCAGUUGACCCAGACUACAUUUUGUUUCCCAGCCACCAUGAUGUCACUCGGAGAUACUGCUUUUCUUCACAGCAUCUCUUGAGUAAAGCCCCUGGGCUGGUGGGACAUCCUCUUCUUGUUCCUGGGACCAGACAGGCCAGAUGGGGCAGGUGCAGGCCACCCCACUGCUGCUCCCAAGCCAUUGGGCCAGGAGACAUGGACCGGGUGGGACUGCUGAUUCCUGGGCUCCCCUAGAUGGUUGCAGUAGUGUCCCUGGUCCCUGGCUGUGAGGGGCCUGCAGCAGGGACAAAUUGCUCCUGCUCCCAUGGACAGCAACCUGGAUCCAAGCUUUGUCCAAAGAAUGAAGCUUGUAUCCACUGGGACCCCUGAACCGCAGGGAGCGAGGGCUUCAGAGGGAGCUAGUUCUUUUUUUUCCAGGUGUUAAUCUUUCUCCCUUUGCAUGGACUACAUCAACCAUAGCCCACUGGUGGAGGACAAGGACUCGGGAGCCAGGCUGCCUGGAAGCUCCGCAGAGAUUCUGCUGCAUCCCUACACCUGAGGAUCCCUGCUCCAGGGGCCUGAAUGCUUAUAGCAUUUCCGCCACUGAGGCACUGAUGGAUUUUUCCCUACCUGGUCCCCUUGUGGUUACUUUCUUUUAUGUUUACAGAUGGCAUUAUUGUUGCUUGUUUGUUUGUUUGUUUGUUUGUUUGUUUUUAAGUAGGUUCCGCGCUGGGCAUGGAGCCCAAUGUGGGGCCCGAACUCAUGAUGUUAAGAUCAAGACCUGAGUCUUGAUCAAGAUUCGGAUGCCUGGGGCCCCUGGGUGGCUCUGUCGGUUGAGUGUCUGCCUUCAGCUCAGGUCAUGAUCACAGGGCUUGGGAUCAUAGGGCUCGCUGCUCAGCAGGGAGCCUGUUUCUCCCUCUCCCUCUGCUGUUCCCCCUGCUUGUGCUCCCCCCCCCCCCCCACCUCGUCAAAUAAAUAAAUAGAGUCUUAAAAAAAAAAGUUGGAC
Molecule: long non-coding RNA, 1256 nt
Filed under: Vulpes vulpes (red fox)
Lineage: Eukaryota; Metazoa; Chordata; Mammalia; Carnivora; Canidae
Description: lncRNA (ENSVVUG00000011868.1)
Source: RNAcentral